GAUGAACGCUGGCGGCGUGCUUAACACAUGCAAGUCGAACGAAGCACUUUAUUUGAUUUCCUUCGGGGACUGAUUAUUUUGUGACUGAGUGGCGGACGGGUGAGUAACGCGUGGGUAACCUGCCUUGUACAGGGGGAUAACAGUUGGAAACGGCUGCUAAUACCGCAUAAGCGCACGGCAUCGCAUGAUGCAGUGUGAAAAACUCCGGUGGUAUAAGAUGGACCCGCGUUGGAUUAGCUAGUUGGGGAGGUAACGGCCCACCAAGGCGACGAUACAUAGCCGACAUGAGAGGGUGACCGGCCACAUUGGGACUAAGACACGGCCCAAACUCCUGCGGGAGGCAGCAGUGGGGAAUAUUGCACAAUGGGCGAAAGCCUGAUGCAGCGACGCCGCGUGAGCGAAGAAGUAUUUCGGUAUGUAAAGCUCUAUCAGCAGGGAAGAUAAUGACGGUACCUGACGAAGAAGCACCGGCUAAAUACGUG
Molecule: ribosomal RNA, 482 nt
Filed under: uncultured bacterium
Lineage: Bacteria
Description: partial 16S ribosomal RNA
Rfam family: Bacterial small subunit ribosomal RNA
Source: RNAcentral